UACGUAGGGAGCAAGCGUUGUUCGGAAUCACUGGGCGUAAAGGGAGCGUAGGUGGGAGGAUGAGUUAGAAGUUAAAUGUGCGGGCUUAACCCGUAUACUGCUUUAAUUACUGUCCUUCUUGAGUAUGGGAGAGGUUAACGGUAAUUCCAGGUGUAGCGGUGGAAUGCGUAGAUAUCUGGAAGAACACCAGUUGCGAAGGCGGUUAACUGGCCCAAUACUGACACUGAGGCUCGAAAGCAUGGGGAGCAAACGGGAUUAGAAACCCGAGUAGU
RNAcentral lists this ribosomal RNA (272 nucleotides) under uncultured bacterium. RNAcentral's name for it is "partial 16S ribosomal RNA". It matches the Rfam family "Bacterial small subunit ribosomal RNA", at positions 524 to 794 of the family's 1533-position model. The record is from RNAcentral.